This 431-nucleotide ribosomal RNA is filed under the name Globorotalia inflata. RNAcentral describes it as "bacterial SSU rRNA". It matches the Rfam family "Eukaryotic small subunit ribosomal RNA", at positions 1242 to 1485 of the family's 1831-position model. The record is from RNAcentral. Lineage: Eukaryota; Foraminifera; Rotaliida; Globorotaliidae.
GACAGGCAAUAUAUUAGCAUAAAGACUCGUCUUUAGCGCUAAUUGUUAAAUAUGCUAGUCCUUUCAUGAUUAUGUGAUAGGUGGUGCAUGGCCGUUCUUAGUUCGUGGAGUGAUCUGUCUGCUUAAUUGCGUUUCACUAAGGGCCCAUAAAUUCAAGGUAUGUUAGCAAAUGCUGCUCUAUUGACCCCUAAUAGGCUUAACUGUCUUUAGCGCGUGUCUCUACGAGUUCUUUAAAGCACUGCGCAUGCUGUUGGGUCCUGAAAGCAACGAACGUGACCGCAACGUCUUGUUGCCUCUCUAUAAUACCUUCUUAUUUUUAAUAAGAGUAUUUACCUGAGGCUAUUUUAAAACUAGACGGACCGCUGUUUCUUUCUUAAACCAGAGGAAGGUUGCGGCAAUAACAGGUCUGUGAUGCCCUUAGAUGUUCCGGA